CCAUAGCCUCCACUGCUCUUUAUCACCAUCAUCAUUACCAUCUUUUCCAAUCUUCCUUCUAAUUUUUAGGGUUUUCAAUCUCUCCAAACCUCGCUUCAAUGGACUGAAUUCCCAGAGAUUUUUCCCAUCUUCGUUUGGUGAUCGAUGGCGGAUUCUCUUACGGAGCAGGUCUUCAAUCUCCUGAGGAGAUUUGGGAAGCAUUUCAAUCGCAAGGUUUCGGAGAUUGCCAUUCUUCUAAUCAAUCACAAGAAUGCUGGUUCACUUGGAGCUCUUGCUGGAUUUGCUAUUGCUAUAGCUUUUACCUGGAAGUUCUUGAGAUCUCCCAGCAGACACCAAAGAAGUCAACGGAAAAGAAUAGGCUCCGCAUCGACAGGCAGUGAUGGUACUCAAGCAAAUGAAGCUGCUUCCAACUCUGAAUUUCACCAGGCAGAACAACAUCUAAAUGAUAUAGAUGCAGUUCAUGAGGUCCAUCAUCCAGUGGAGCUCACUCUUGGGCAAAUAGUGAGGAAGAAACUAAGCGGCGGGCGGAGGAUGACUUGCCAACUGCUUGGUGUGAUUCUCGAGGAGAGUAGUCCUGAAGAGCUUCAGAAGCAUGCAACUGUGAAGCCCUCGGUAGUGGAAGUACUUCUGGAAAUUUCUAAAUCUUGCGAUCUUUAUCUGAUGGAAAGAAUUCUUGACGACGAAAGUGGGGAAAGAGCUCUCUCAGCUUUGGAGGAUGCUGGCCUUUUCAGAACCAGCAGCUUGAUCAAGGACAAAGUUCUCUUUUGCAGCACUGAAAACGGGCGUAUGUCUUUCGUUCGGCAAUUAGAGCCAGACUGGCAUGUUGAUACAAAUCUUGAGAUAGUCUCUCAGCUAGCCCGGUUCAUCAGAUUCCAACUUCACAUCUGGCCCAUUAGUUCCAGCAAUGUGGCGUCUAACGUAUUUAGUUCGACAAGUCUGGAGCAGUACUUUUCGUGCUUGGAUCAAUACUGAAGAACGAUUUCAAGUUUUCACGCUCUACCAAUUCAACAGAAGGAUGAUUUGCUGGGGAGAUAUGUGAGGCACAAUGAAUCAAUGGGCCCACCAGAUGAGCAGCCAGGCCACAACUUGAGAAGUUGCAUUUUGGAAGCAUGGCCCACUCAGGUGGGGCCCAAUGUAUCAGGUCUGAUCACUGAAUCGUGGACCCCACCUGCACAAACUGAAGACCUGUGCGGGUGCAAUGAUUCUCGGUCAAACACCUUUCCCUUAAUGUUUAUGAAGUUGAUCUCUUUUGCAAGGGAAGAGACUCGAUGCUUUAUAUUUUGUACUCGAUAUGUGCUACAUGCGUAUGAUGAUCCUAGCCGUCCAUCCUGUGGGCUGUCAUUGAUGGGACACCAAAAAUUGAUUUUCACCAAACUCUCCUUACCAUCAAACAAGGUUUUACUUUUUGUUAGUGAAUGUGAGUUGUUGCUGGAUGUUAGGACGGCCUGAAUUCUCUAUUUUGGUCCAUGGUCCAUUCACUAUUGGAUCUACCAAACGAACGGUUUAGAUCUCAUCCAGUCAUGCCACAUGUCCAGGGCAUACUAAAUGAGUGGUUCCAAUGUGGUCCAGUCAUGCCACUAGCGCGUGGAGGAACUAAAGGGUUCUGCUCAUCAACAAAACAUGGUGUGCAGACGUACAUGAUUAUGUGCAUGUAGGACCCAGUUCGGUGCUCAAGGGCGUUGCGGCAACGGGAGGCGGAUUUCCUACUGACACUGUCAGUAGCCAAUAGCUACUGAACGGGAAACGGAUUGGCUACUCCCCCGACACCAGCCCCGUGGCUGGUGGUCGGUGCUCUGUGGGCCCCAUCAUGAUGUAUGUGUUUCAUCCAUUUUUACAGAUCAUUUUAGGGCUUGAUAACAAAAAUGAGAGGGAUAUAAAUCUCAGGUGGACCACACCACAUGAAAACACUAGUGAUUGGAUAUCCACCAUUAAAAUCC
Magnolia sinica is the source of this 1937-nucleotide RNA transcript. It is a transcript of the gene named peroxisome biogenesis protein 22-like, with no coding region annotated. The transcript is spliced from 10 exons. NCBI's taxonomy places the organism in Eukaryota, Viridiplantae, Streptophyta, Magnoliopsida, Magnoliales, Magnoliaceae. The record is from RefSeq and is a predicted model, not a curated record.